CCGAAGGAGGUCCAGAAAGGUCAGUCCGGGACCAAGAAAUGCCCGAGGAUGGGGAGGCGGAAUGGGACCUGCCCGCGUUUUCUGCUGAAGAUUCGGCCACCGCGGAAGACAUUAGCGGUCAUCCCCGUGAGGGGCCAAGGCAGCCUAUUCUUCACAAAUAUCCCCAAAAUGUUGGCUGGAAUACAGUGUGUCCAAAGAUUCCGCGUUUUGCUUUGGAUGUCGGCAUUUUUUGAAACCUGGACAAGGAUUUCAUCUGGAGCCAGCUUUCACCAGCAAAGGCUUUAACAACUGGCGAAAAGCCUCUACAUCACUUAAGAGUCAUCACGAAAGUGCAGGACAUAAAUUUGCAAUGGAGACAUGGAGCGACUUUAAGGAAACACAGAAAAGCGGCUCCAAAAUAGCAAACAUGUUAGACAAGGGUCAUUCAGCAUUGGUUUUGGAGAACCGACAAUACAUGAAGGCUGUGGUGGAAAGCCUUCGCUUUACAGCUUGACAGGGGAUCGCACAGCGAGGCCACAGUGAAGAAAAACGCACAGAGGAGAAAUGGAAAGAAAUACGCGAACAAGCGGACGGCCUGUAUGGAAAAACAGGAAUUUCUCCUCGGACUUCACGUGAGAGAAGGCCAACCCAAACAGCGCGACACCUGGAGGGGUUUGUUGUGGAUGCCCCGCUAGAAAGAGCGCGCGUGGACAGUUUGGACGACCUGAAAACACAGUCUUUCUAUUCUGUUUUAGACAGGCUGUUGAUGGAGAUGAAAAGGCGCUUCUCCACAGAGACAAAUUAUGUUCUGAUAGGCGCACCAGCCCUGAGCCCCAAACAGUCAUCUUUUCUUAACGAAGAACGCAUACUACCCAUGGCCCGUCAUUAUGGAGUCGGGGAGGAAAAUCUGCAUGCAGAACUUUAUCAAGUUUGCCGGCUACUUCAAAGGAAAGCAGAACAAGGACACUGUAUCAACACCACACAGGCGUUCUUAUCCCUCAUGAGGCCAUGCAAGGAUGCCUUUAUGGACUUAUUUAAACUCAUAUGUAUAUCUCUGACACUUCCCGUCACAUCGGUGAGUUGUGACUGUGAGCGCAGUUUUUCUUGCCUGCGUCGUCUGAAGACAUACUUGAGGAACAGCAGCGGGGACUGUCGAACCAGUAACCUGGGACUGUUGGCGAUUAACACUGACAGAACAAGGGCCCUGGACAGCGAAAACAUCAUCAAUGCCUUUGCCCUUAACCAUAAAAACAGGCGGAUCGUUUUGUUAUGAAGACAUCACAUGAUCAAUAUAAAAAUCUGGCAGCCGUCCCCUCCUCCAUCAACCACCUCAGAGACUUGCUGAGGAGCAGCUGUUGAAAAUCCUGCAUCAACUUCAAGUAUGACUUCAACUGGGAGAAACCCGCCCUUUUAUUUGAUUGACAACGGUCCAAGUACGAAAACCAGGCUCAAGAAGACUAGCCGCCCAGCCAAUUUCCCUCUGAAGCCUUCUCAUUUCUCACCUGGGCUCAGGAAAAUGACAGAGGUAAAGUAAUGCCAAAUGUUGGAAAUUGACUCUGUGGAAUGGAAUCUUAUGGCCGCGCAGUUGGACUGAAUUAUGAAGAAGACGCAGUGAGUGCAUCUUUCCAAAUACCGAUGUGUUUCAAUGUUUCACCUUUGUUAAGGUUUUGUUUGUAUUAAACAACACGUUUUGAAGUAUGACGCUUGGAGACACCCAGACCCUUGCCCUCAUUCAUAAUUCAUACAACAAUGUAAUUUUAAUGCCAAAGAAAACUUGAAUGUUGUCUUACAACAAACAUAUGUUGAAAUUGUCAGUGAAAAGUGUUCUUUUACUGUUGUUACUAUUUUUAAAGGCCAGUUUGGAUAAUAUGUUUACAGAAGCAUUAAUAUUUGAACCCAAAUAAUGCAAAUGACAUUAAAGUAAGCGUCUCAUGCUCUCAGAUUAAUUACUUAGGAAAAUCUGCAAAACACACUCAGGAGCAGUCAGUCUUUUCAAUGAAAGCUGCAUCUCUGGUAGCAGGGCUUUAUUGCAUAUUAAUGCCCAUAAAUCUGCUCAAGAGUUAUAGGAAGAAGAGGUGUCAGAGUUUCGGAUUAAGUUGAUAAGGAAUUCUAGGUGAUUGUUAUGCAUUUAUCAAUGUCAGCAAACCAGCCAUUUAGUGCUUUAAGGUAAUGCAGCACAACUUUUAUGACACAGUUUAGCCAAAAUGUAAAACAUAAACACUGAUAAGAUGGGACUAAGGUGGAGCCAAAUUAGUGAUCCCAUAGAGGUAUUCUUUUUGCUUAGAUUUCCUGCAGCCGUAGUGUUUGGUUUAAUGGAACACUUGUU
Notolabrus celidotus (New Zealand spotty) is the source of this 2305-nucleotide long non-coding RNA. RefSeq lists it as uncharacterized. The transcript is spliced from 5 exons. The record is from RefSeq and is a predicted model, not a curated record. NCBI's taxonomy places the organism in Eukaryota, Metazoa, Chordata, Actinopteri, Labriformes, Labridae.